AAGUCGUAACAAGGUUUCCGUAGGUGAACCUGCGGAAGGAUCAUUAACACGUUAUCCACGUAUCAACCAAUCGAGAACUUGUUUUCACGUCUCCCUUUGCAAUUUGAAUGAAUUGGCUAACCAGUUUGAGGGAAUUGAUGUGGAUUGCAUUCAUUUGCAAUCGGCCUUCCUGGUAUACUUAUGAGCUAUUGAAAAAUAGUUUGUUAACAAUUGUAUCUUAUUGCUGAAAGGCCAAAUUUCUUUCGAUAUUUUGAUCUCCAUCAUGAUCAAUAAAGUAUUGAAGGAGAAAAACCUUAUAAAACUAUUUUCACCACCUUUUUGCUAGUUGACUUUUUAUAUGUGAUUGUUUUGCUUAAUUGCAAUGUAGUCGCACGUUUAAUUACUUGAACGUUAAAAAAUACAACUCUUAGCAAUGGAUAUCUUGGUUCUC
Molecule: unclassified non-coding RNA, 430 nt
Filed under: fungal sp.
Lineage: Eukaryota; Fungi
Description: partial internal transcribed spacer region
Rfam family: Eukaryotic small subunit ribosomal RNA (bases 1-46)
Source: RNAcentral